CUAUCAUGCAGUCGAACGGGAGUAGCAAUACUCUAGUGGCGCACGGGUGCGUAACGCGUAUGCAACCUACCUCUCAGUGGGGGAUUGCCCGGGGAAACCCGGAUUAAUACCGCAUAAGAAGAGUGAAUGGCAUCAUUUACUUUUGAAACAUUUAUGGCUGAAAGAUGGGCAUGCGUUAGAUUAGCUAGUUGGUGAGGUAGAGGCUCACCAAGGCAAUGAUCUAUAGGGGUUCUGAGAGGAAGAUCCCCCACACUGGUACUGAGNCAGGANCAAAAUUUAUACGGGAGGCAGCAGCGGGGAAUAUUGGGCAAUGCUCGCAAGAGUGACCCAGCCAUGCCGCGUGCAGGAAGAAGGCCUUCUGGGUUGUGAACUGCUUUUGGAAGGNAACAAAAUGACACUGCGGUGUAACUUGAGUGUACCUUCAGAAUAAGCACCGGCUAACUCCGUGCCAGCAGCCGCGGUAAUACGGAGGGUGCAAGCGUUGUCCGNAUUUAUUGNGUUUAAAGGGUGCGUAGGCUNCUUAUUAAGUCAGGGGNGAAAGACUGCAGCUCAACUGUAGCAGUGCCUUUGAUACUGAUGAGCUUGAGUACAGAUGAGGCAGGCGGAAUGGGUGGUGUAGCGGUGAAAUGCAUAGAUACCAUCCAGAACACCGAUUGCGAAGGCAGCCUGCUAAACUGUAACUGACGCUGAGGCACGAAAGCGUGGGGGAUCGAACAGGAUUAGAUACCCUGGUAGUCCACGCUGUAAACGAUGAUUACUCGAUGUUAGCGAUACACAGUUAGCGUCNAAGGGAAACCGAUAAUUAUCCCACCUGGGAGUACGCCCGCAAGGNUGAAACUCAAAGGAAU
RNAcentral lists this ribosomal RNA (848 nucleotides) under uncultured Bacteroidota bacterium. RNAcentral's name for it is "bacterial SSU rRNA". It matches the Rfam family "Bacterial small subunit ribosomal RNA", at positions 48 to 910 of the family's 1533-position model. The record is from RNAcentral. Lineage: Bacteria; Pseudomonadati; Bacteroidota.